AGCCCAGCCACGCCAUGGGUGCAGGAGUGAAGAGCAAAUGCUAACUGUCCAUGGAAUUGACUUUCAAAGGGGCGUGUCAUGUGCCUCAUCCCAGCAACAGGGAAGGCAUUUCUCUAUCAGUCAGUUGGUAAAUGAUUAUUGACAAACAAUGUGCUGGGAAGGUGGAGUGAUUUGAGUAGAUUUGGCCUCUAUUCUCAUGGAGCUUCCUUUCUAGAGGGGAAGGCAGAUGAUGGAUGGAUAAAUAUAAAUGAUUCUAAUAGGUUGGUGCAGCAGUCAUUAAAAGUGAUGGCAAAAAAAAAAAAAAAAGAAACGGGGAGGAGCCGUUGCUGCAGUUCAUUAAUAGUAAUGGCAAAACCCGCGAUGACUUGUGCGCCAACCUAACCCAGUAACCACGGGUGUGCAAAUGUGGCGAUGGGCAAGUUCCGAGUGCUAGGAGAGCAUCUAGCUUCCCGGAGUCAGGAGACGGGGGUUGGCAACCUAACCAAGGUUAAGUCCAAGUGAGGGGGGUGGGCAGGGAGCGAUAUUUCAGUGGAGACUCCAAGGAUGAAUGGUAUUUAGAGAGUAAACCCCGAUAGAGGGUUUGUGUCUGGCACAGAGAAGAGCCUGUGCAAAAGCUGGUGGGGCGAGAGGACACCGUGUGUUCAUCCACCUGACGGGCGACCAGCAGGCUGGAGCUCAGCGGGUUGAGAGGAGGAUGCAGAACCCGGGAAAGGCACCCUAGGCAGAGGGCACAGAAGCGCAAAGGCCUGGAGUCAGGCCUGAGCCUGUGUGGUUUGAGGAACGGACAGAGGCCUGUCCGUCAGGAAGGGAACGGCACAGGGGAGAGACCUUAGGCCACAGCAGAGGGCAGGGCAGAGGGCAGGGCCGUGCUGGGCAGUGUGGGCUGUGGAUGGUGCUGGCAUUUAAGAGGGGAGACCAUAGACCAGGGCAAAGGGCAGGGCCGUGCUGGGCACUUUGGGCUGUGGAUGGGAGCUGGCAUUUAUGCUCAGGUGAUGGGAAUGUGUUAAAAGAUUUUAAGGAGGGGAGUAACAGUUGGGAUUAAUGUGUAUUCUGGGAAUCUCAACAAAGUAAAUUCAUAGUUUGAAUUUUCAUAAGACUUCUGCACAGGCAGAGAGAAAUAAGAUCGUGUCUACAGCUGUGUGAUGAUUUUAUUGAAAAACAUUACUAAGUUUUUAAACGUGAUUUCAAAUGGUGUGUUUCUGUUUCACCUUGGACAUAAGUAGAUUGCAAGGCUAAUGGAAAGUAGAAAAGUUAACUCAUGAACAUAAAAGAGAUAUCAAUUUGAAAACAAAACAUUUAUUCAUUUACUUCCGCUGCAGAUUUCUUGACUGCUGAAUUUCAUGAGAAGGGAUUGUUCAGGGAGGGACGUGGGGCUGAAGACCUGGAGAGGAGGUGGUGCUACCGCUGUUCAAAUCUGAGGGUGGUGGAGAUGGAGCCUUGGGGAGGAGCAGGUGCUGCCUUUUAAGUCUAUGAGAGUCGUUGAGCUGGAGGUCCAGGGAGGAGCCGGUGCUCCCACUGAUGUCUUAGGUUGUGGAGCUGAAGACAACGAAGGAGCCAGUGUGGCUGUUCUGUGAGACUCGUGGAGCUGGAGAUCCAGGUGGGAGAGGUGUUUUAGCUCGGGGAAGAGCUGAUGUUCUACCUUGAGGGUCCUGCAGCUGCAGACCUGGGGAGGAGCUAAUGUUCUAGUUUGAGUGUCAUGCAGCUGCAGACCCGGGGAGGAGCUGAUGUUCUAGUUUGAGUGUCAUGCAGCUGCAGACCUGGAGAGGAGCUGAUGUUCUAGAUUGAGGGUCGUGCAGCUGCAGACCCGGGGAGGAGCUGAUGUUCUAGAUUGAGGGUCGUGCAGCUGCAGACCUGGAGAGGAGCUGAUGUUCUAGAUUGAGGGUCGUGCAGCUGCAGACCCGGGGAGGAGCUGAUGUUCUAGAUUGAGGGUCGUGCAGCUGCAGACCUGGAGAGGAGCUGAUGUUCUAGUUUGAGGGUCAUGCAGCUGAAGACCCGGGGAGGAGCUGAUGUUCUAGUUUGAGGGUCAUGCAGCUGCAGACCCGGAGAGGAGCUGAUGUUCUAGAUUGAGGGUCGUGCAGCUGCAGACCUGGAGAGGAGCUGAUGUUCUAGAUUGAGGGUCGUGCACCUGCAGACCCGGAGAGGAGCUGAUGUUCUAGAUUGAGUGUCGUGCACCUGCAAACCCGGGGAGGAGCUGAUGUUCUCAUUUGAGGGUCGUGCAGAUGCAGACCCGGAGAGGAGCUGAUGUUCUAGAUUGAGGGUCGUGCAGCUGCAGACCUGGAGAGGAGCUGAUGUUCUAGUUUGAGGGUCAUGCAGCUGAAGACCCGGGGAGGAGCUGAUGUUCUAGUUUGAGGGUCAUGCAGCUGCAGACCCGGAGAGGAGCUGAUGUUCUAGAUUGAGGGUCGUGCAGCUGCAGACCUGGAGAGGAGCUGAUGUUCUAGAUUGAGGGUCAUGCAGCUGAAGACCCGGGGAGGAGCUGAUGUUCUAGUUUGAGGGUCAUGCAGCUGCAGACCCGGAGAGGAGCUGAUGUUCUAGAUUGAGGGUCGUGCAGCUGCAGACCUGGAGAGGAGCUGAUGUUCUAGAUUGAGGGUCAUGCAGCUGAAGACCCGGGGAGGAGCUGAUGUUCUAGUUUGAGGGUCAUGCAGCUGCAGACCCGGAGAGGAGCUGAUGUUCUAGAUUGAGGGUCGUGCAGCUGCAGACCUGGAGAGGAGCUGAUGUUCUAGUUUGAGGGUCAUGCAGCUGAAGACCCGGGGAGGAGCUGAUGUUCUAGAUUGAGGGUCGUGCAGCUGCAGACCUGGAGAGGAGCUGAUGUUCUAGUUUGAGGGUCGUGCAGCUGAAGACCCGGGGAGGAGCUGAUGUUCUAGAUUGAGGGUCGUGCAGCUGCAGACCUGGAGAGGAGCUGAUGUUCUAGUUUGAGGGUCAUGCAGCUGAAGACCCGGGGAGGAGCUGAUGUUCUAGAUUGAGGGUCGUGCAGCUGCAGACCCGGAGAGGAGCUGAUGUUCUAGAUUGAGGGUCGUGCAGCUGCAGACCCGGAGAGGAGCUGAUGUUCUAGAUUGAGGGUCUUGCAGCUGCAGACCUGGAGAGGAGCUGAUGUUCUAGAUUGAGGGUCGUGCAGCUGCAGACCCGGGGAGGAGCUGAUGUUCUAGUUUGAGGGUCUUGCAGCUGAAGACUUGGGGAGGAGCUGAUGUUGUUGCAUUGAGGGUCUUUCAGUUGGAGACUCAGGGAGGAGCUGAUGUUCUAGAAUUAGGGUGAUAGAACUGGAGACCUGGAGAGAAGGUAAUGUUCUAGUUUUAGGGUCUUGCAGCUGCAGACCCGGGGAGGAGCUGAUGUUCUAGUUUGAGGGUCUUGCAGCUGAAGACUUGGGGAGGAGCUGAUGUUGUUGCGUUGAGGGUCUUUCAGUUGGAGACUCAGGGAGGAGCUGAUGUUCUAGAAUUAGGGUGAUAGAACUGGAGACAUGGAGAGAAGGUAAUGUUCUAGUUUUAGGUUCUUGCAGCUGCAGACCUGGAGAGGAGCUGAUGUUCUAGAUUGAGGGUCUUGCACCUGCAGACCCGGGGAGGAGCUGAUGUUCUAGAUUGAGUGUCAUGCAGCUGCAGACCCGGAGAGGAGCUGAUGUUCUAGUUUGAGGGUCGUGCAGCUGCAGACCUGGAGAGGAGCUGAUAUUCUAGUUUGAGGGUCAUGCAGCUGAAGACCCGGGGAGGAGCUGAUGUUCUAGUUUGAGUGUCAUGCAGCUGCAGACCCGGAGAGGAGCUGAUGUUCUAGAUUGAGGGUCGUGCAGCUGCAGACCUGGAGAGGAGCUGAUGUUCUAGUUUGAGGGUCAUGCAGCUGAAGACCCGGGGAGGAGCUGAUGUUCUAGAUUGAGGGUCGUGCAGCUGCAGACCUGGAGAGGAGCUGAUGUUCUAGUUUGAGGGUCAUGCAGCUGAAGACCCGGGGAGGAGCUGAUGUUCUAGAUUGAGGGUCAUGCAGCUGCAGACCCGGAGAGGAGCUGAUGUUCUAGAUUGAGGGUCAUGCAGCUGCAGACCCGGAGAGGAGCUGAUGUUCUAGAUUGAGGGUCAUGCAGCUGCAGACCCGGAGAGGAGCUGAUGUUCUAGAUUGAGGGUCGUGCAGCUGCAGACCCGGAGAGGAGCUGAUGUUCUAGUUUGAGGGUCAUGCAGCUGAAGACCCGGGGAGGAGCUGAUGUUCUAGAUUGAGGGUCGUGCAGCUGCAGACCUGGAGAGGAGCUGAUAUUCUAGAUUGAGGGUCAUGCAGCUGCAGACCCGGAGAGGAGCUGAUGUUCUAGAUUGAGGGUCUUGCAGCUGCAGACCUGGAGAGGAGCUGAUGUUCUAGAUUGAGGGUCUUGCAGCUGCAGACCCGGGGAGGAGCUGAUGUUCUAGUUUGAGGGUCUUGCAGCUGAAGACUUGGGGAGGAGCUGAUGUUGUUGCAUUGAGGGUCUUUCAGUUGGAGACUCAGGGAGGAGCUGAUGUUCUAGAAUUAGGGUGAUAGAACUGGAGACCUGGAGAGAAGGUAAUGUUCUAGUUUUAGGUUCUUGCAGCUGCAGACCUGGAGAGGAGCUGAUGUUCUAGAUUGAGGGUCUUGCACCUGCAGACCCGGGGAGGAGCUGAUGUUCUAGUUUGAGGGUCUCCCAGCUGCAGACCUGGAGAGGAGCUGAUGUUCUAGUUUGAGUGUCGUGCAGCUGCAGACCCGGGGAGGAGCUGAUGUUCUAGUUUGAGGGUCGUGCAGCUGGAGACCUGGAGAGGAGCUAAUGUUCUAGUUUGAGGUUCUUGCAGCUGCAGACCUGGAGAGGAGCUGAUGUUCUAGAUUGAGGGUCGUGCAGCUUCACACUUGGAGAGGAGCUGAUGUUCUAGUUUGAGGGUCGUGCAGCUGCAGACCUGUAGAGGAGCUGAUGUUCUAGAUUGAGGGUCGUGCAGCUGAAGACUUGGGGAGGAGCUUUAGUUGUUCGCGUUGAGGGUCUUUCAGUUGGAGACUCGGAGGAGCUGAUGUUCUAGAUUUAGGGUCACGGAACUGGAGACCUGGACAGAAGUUGAUGUUCUAGUUUGAGUGUCUAGCAGCUGCAGAUCCGGAGAGGAGCUGAUGUUCUAGUUUGAGGGUCUUGCAACUGCAGACCUGUAGAGGAGCUGAUGUUCUAGAUUGAGGGUCGUGCAGCUGCAGACCUGGGGAGGAGCUGAUGUUCUAGACUGAGGGUCGUGCAGCUGCAGACCUGGAGAGGAGCUGAUGUUCUAGAUUGAGAGUCCUGCAGCUGAAGACUCGGGGUGGAGCUGAUGUUGUAGUUUGAGGGUCAUGCAGUUGAGGACUUCGGGAGGAGCUGAUGUUGUUCGUGUUGAGGGUCUUUCAGCUGGAGACUCAGGGAGGAGCUGACAAUCUUGACUGAGGUUCAUGGAGCUGGAGACUCAGGCAGGAGCUGAUGUUCUAGCUAGUGGAUCUUCCAGCUGCAGACCAAGAGAGGAGCUGAUGUUCUAAUUUUAGGUUCUUGCAGCUGCAGACCUGGAGAGGAGCUGAUGUUCUAGAUAGAGGGUCAUGCAGCUGAAGACUCGGGGAGGAGCUGAUGUUGUAGUUCGAGGGUCAUGCAGUUGAGGACUUUGGGAGGAGCUGAUGUUGUUCGUGUUGAGGGUCUUUCAGCUGGGGACUCAGGGAGGAGCUGAUAAUCUUGAUUAAGGGUCAUGGAGCUGGAGACCCAGACAGGAGCUGAUGUUCUAGUUAGUGGAUCUUCCAGCUGCAGAGUCAGAGAGGAGCUGAUGUUCUAGAUUGAGGGUCAUGCAGCUGAAGACCCGGGGAGGAGCUGAUGUUCUAGAUUGAGGGUCGUGGAGCUGCAGACCUGGAGAGGAGCUGAUGUUCUAGUUUGAGGGUCGUGCAGCUGGAGACCUGGAGAGGAGCUAAUGUUCUAGUUUGAGGUUCUUGCAGCUGCAGACCUGGAGAGGAGCUGAUGUUCUAGAUUGAGGGUCGUGCAGCUGCACACUUGGAGAGGAGCUGAUGUUCUAGAUUGAUGGUCUUGCAGCUGCAGACCUGGAGAGGAGCUGAUGUUCUAGUUUGAGGAUCUUGCAGCUGCAGACCCGGAGAGGAGCUGAUGUUCUACUUUGAGGGUCGUGCAGCUGGAGACCUGGAGAGGAGCUGAUGUUCUAGUUUGAGGGUCAUGCAGAUGAAGACUCGGGGAGGAACUGAUGUUCUAGUUUGAGGGUCUUGCAGCUGCAGACCUGGAGAGGAGCUGAUGUUGUAGUUUGAUGGUCUUGCAGCUGCAAACCUGGAGAGGAGCUGAUGUUCUAGAUUGAGGGUCGUGCAGCUGAAGACUCGGGGAGGAGCUGAUGUUCUAGAUUAAGGGUCAUGCAGCUGAAGACUCAGGGAGGAGCUGAGGUUCUAGUUUGAGGGUCGUGCAGCUGAAGACUCGGGAGGAGCUGAGAUUCUAGUUUGAGGGUCGUGCAGCAGAAGACUCAGGGAGGAGCUGAUGUUCUAGAUUGAGGGCCCUACAGCUGCAGACCUGAAGAGGAGCUGAUGUUCGAGAUUGAGGGUCGUGCAGCUGAAUACUUGGAGAGGAGCUGAUGUUAUAGUUUGAGGGCCCUACAGCUGAAGACCCGGAGAGUAUCUGAUCUUCGAGAUUGAGGGUCGUGCAGCUGAAGACUCCGGGAGGAGCUGAGGUGGUAAUUUGAGGGUCUUGCAGCUGCUGACUUGGGGAGGAGCUGAUGUUCUAGUUUGAGGGCCCUACAGUUGGAAAUCUGUACAGGAGCUGAUGUUCUAGUUUGAGGGUCAUGCAGGCGAAGAAUCGGGGAGGAGCUGAUAUUCUAGUUUGAGGGCCCUGCAGCUAGAGAUGCAGACAGGAGCUGAUGUUGUAGUUUGAGGGUCGUACAGCUGAAGAUUCAGGGAGGAGCUGUUCGUGUAUUUUUAGGGUCAUGCAGCUGCAGACCCGGAGAGGAGCUGAUGUUAAAGAUUGAGGGUCAUGCAGCUGAAGACUCUGGGAGGAGCUGACGUUCUAAUUUGAGGUCACUACAGGUGGACACCGAGAGAGGAGCUUAUGUUCUAGAUUGAGGGUCAUGCAGCAGAAGACUCGGGGAAGAGCUGAGGUUGUAGUUUGAGGGUCAUGCAGCUGGAGAACCAGACAGGAGCUGAUGUUCUAGAUUGAGCGUCGUGCAGCUGAAGACUUGGGGAGGAGCUGAUGUUGUUCGUUUUGAGGGUGUUUCAGCUGGAGACUCAGGGAGGAGCUGACGUUCUAGAUUGAGGGUCUUGCAGCUGCAGACCUGUAGAGGAACUGAUGUUCUAGAUUGAGGGUCACGCAGCUGAAGACUUGGGGAGAAGCUGAUGUUCUAACUUGAGGGUCGUGCAGCUGAGGACUCGGGGAGGAGCUGAUGUUGACAGCUGUGCAGCUGGAGAUCCGGCGGGGAGCUGAUGUUCCGGUUUGAGGGCCGGGGAGCUGAUGUUCCAGUUUGAUGGCCGUGCAGCUGGAGACCCAGGGAGGAACAUCAAACUGGAACAUCUGCUCCCCGCAGUGCCUCCAGCUGCAUGGCUCCCAAACUGGAACAUCGGUUCCCACCCGGGUCUCCAGCUGCACGGCCCUCAAACUGCAACAUCGGCUACCCCCGAGUCUCCAGCUGCACGGGCCUCAAACUGGAACAUCAGCUCCCCACCGGGUCUCCAGCUUCACGGCCCUCAAACUGGAACUUCAGCUCCCCACCGGGUAUCCAGCUGCAUGGCCCUCAAACUGGAAGUUCAGCUCCCCAUCGGGUCUCCAGCUGCACGGCCCUCAGACUGGAACAUCAGCUCCCCACCGGGUCUCCAGCUGCAUGGCCCUCAAACUGGAACAUCAGCUCCCCACCGGGUCUCCAGCUUCACGGCCCUCAAACUGGAACUUCAGCUCCCCACCGGGUCUCCAGCUUCACGGCCCUCAAACUGGAACUUCAGCUCCCCACCGGGUAUCCAGCUGCAUGGCCCUCAAACUGGAAGUUCAGCUCCCCACCGGGUCUCCAGCUGCACGGCCCUCAGACUGGAACAUCAGCUCCCCGCCGGGUCUCCAGCUGCACGACCCUCAAACUGGAAUAGUUUGAACUCAGCGGGGAGCUGAUGUUCCAGUUUGAGGGCCGUGCAGCUGGAGACCCGGCAGGGAGCUGAUGUUCCGGUUGUAGGGCUGUGCAGCCGGAGACCCAGGGGGAAGCUGAUGUUCCAGUUGUAGGGCCGUGCUACUGGAGACCCAGGGGUGGAGCUGAUGUUCCAGUUUGAGGGCCAUGCAGUUGAUGACCCGGCGGGGAGCUGAUGUUCAAGUUUGAGGUCUGUGCAGCUGGAGACCCGCGGGGGAGCUGAUGUUCCAGUUUGAUGGCCAUGCAGCUGGAGGCUCUGAUGGGAGCUGAUGUUGCAAUUUGAGGGCCAUGCAGCUGGAGACCUGGCAGGGAGCUGAUGUUCCAGUUUGAGGGCCGUGCAGCUGGAGACCCGGCAGGGAACUGAUGUUCCAGUUUGAGGGCCAUGCAUCUGGAGACCUGGGCGGGGAGCUGAUGUUCCAGUUUAAGGGCCGUGCAGCUGGAUACCCGGCAGGGAGCUGAUGUUCCAGUUUGAGGGCCGUGCACCUGGAGACCCGGCAGGGAGCUGAUGUUCCAGUUUGAGGGCUGUGCAGCUGGAUACCGGGGGUGGAGCUGAUGUUCCAGUUUGAGGGCCAUGCAUCUGGAGACCCAGUGGGUAGCCAGUGUUGCAGGUUGAGGGCUGUGGAGCUGGAGACCCGGGUUGGGGGGAGCUGAUGUUCCAGGUUGAGGGCCAUGCUGCUGGAGAUCCAGCGGGGAGCUGAUGUUGCAGUUUGAGGCGGUGCAGCUGGACAUGCAGGGGGGAAGUGAUGUUGCAAUUUGAGGGCUGUGCAGCUGGAGACCCUGUGGGGAGCUGAUGUUCCUGUUUGAGGGUUUCGGAGCUGAUGUUCCAGUUUAAGGCCAUGCAGCUGGAGACCCGGUGGGGAGCCGAUGUUCCAGUUUGAGGGCCAUGCAUCUGGAGACCCGGUGGGGAGCUGAUGUUGCAGGUUGAGGGCCGUUCAUCUGGAGACCCAGUGGGGAGCUGAUGUUGCAGGUUGAGGGCUGUGCACCUGGAGCCCCGGGGUGGAGCUGAUAUUCCAGUUUGAGGGCCGUGCAGCUGGCAAUCUGGUGGGGAGCUGAUGUUCCAGUUUGAGGGCCAUGCAGCUGGAGACCCGGCAGGGAGCUCAUGUUCCAGUUUGCAGGCAGUGCAGCUGGAGACCCGGCGGGGAGCUGAUGUUCCAGUUUGAGGUCCGUGCAGCUGGAGAUCUGGUGGGGAGCUGAUGUUCCAGUUUGAGGGCCCUGCAGCUGGAGACCCAUGGGGAUCUGAUGUUCCAGUUUGAGGGUGGUGCUGCUGGCGACCCAGGCGGGAGCUGAUGUUCUAGUUUUAGGGCCCUGCAGCUGGAGACCCGGGGAGGAGCUGACGUUCCCAUUCGAGGGCUGUGCAGGUGGAGACCUGGGGAGGAGCUGAUGUUGUUCUAAUUUGAGUGUGGUGCAGCUGGAGAUCCAGGGAUGAGAUGGCCCUGCAGUUCAAAUAUGAGGGUCCCGGAGCUGGACUCUACGUGAGGAACCAAUGCUGCCUCUGAUGUCUUAGGUUGUGGAGCUGGAAACUCGUGGAGGAGCUGGUAUUGGUGUUUCUAGUUGAGGGUUGUGGUAUUUCCAGGGUUUCACAAAGGCCAGAUUUUAUUUCAGUUACUG
This 9659-nucleotide long non-coding RNA is filed under the name Homo sapiens (human). RNAcentral's name for it is "non-protein coding lnc-RUBCN-2:6". Lineage: Eukaryota; Metazoa; Chordata; Mammalia; Primates; Hominidae. The record is from RNAcentral.